UGCCCCUUUGAACUCUUGACUCCAAGCUCCUUGAGAAAGAAGCAUAUUGCUGGGAAUGAAAGAUCUCUAAUGAGACCAAAUGGCAGAACAAGAUUUCUCACCUCUAUAGCUCUGAGCUGGAGGGACCACCAAGUAUUUCCAGACAAGGAGGAACUGUCACCUCACAUUGCUUGUGAAUCACUGCACAUCUGGUCCUCCUGCCCUGGGACAAGAACUGCAGCAGGAAAAGUCAAUGAGGACUACAUGAAGCCAAAGAAACGUUAGGUGUUGUCUCUGUGAUGCCAAACAUCUGGCUGAAAAUGGAAUAAAAAAGGGAAGCAUCAGGAUGCA
This 330-nucleotide long non-coding RNA is filed under the name Felis catus (domestic cat). RNAcentral describes it as "lncRNA (ENSFCAG00000051919.1)". Lineage: Eukaryota; Metazoa; Chordata; Mammalia; Carnivora; Felidae. The record is from RNAcentral.